CUUAUGGCAUAUGCACGAGUCGCACCAUAAACCAAGAGAAGGACCGUUCGAAUUGAACGAUGUUUUCGCCAUUGUCAACGCUGUGCCCGCCAUAGCUCUUCUUUCUUACGGCUUCUUCCAUAAAGGCCUUGUUCCUGGUCUCUGCUUCGGCGCUGGCCUUGGAAUUACGGUCUUCGGGAUGGCCUACAUGUUCGUCCACGACGGUCUCGUUCAUAAAAGAUUCCCUAGGGGACGUUGGCGAUGGGACCCAC
This 251-nucleotide unclassified non-coding RNA is filed under the name Hevea brasiliensis (rubber tree). Lineage: Eukaryota; Viridiplantae; Streptophyta; Magnoliopsida; Malpighiales; Euphorbiaceae. The record is from RNAcentral.